CUGGCGGCGUGCUUAACACAUGCAAGCCGAGCGAAGCACUUUGCAGAUUCUUCGGAUGAAGCAGAUUGACUGAGCGGCGGACGGGUGAGUAACGCGUGGGGAACCUGCCCCGUACCGGGGGAUAACAGUUAGAAAUGACUGCUAAUACCGCAUAAGCGCACAGUGAGGCAUCUCACAGUGUGAAAAAACUCCGGUGGUACGGGGAUGGACCCGCGUUGGAUUAGCCAGUUGGCGGGGUAACGGCCCACCAAAGCGACGAUCCAUAGCCGGCCUGAGAGGGCGACCGGCCACAUUGGGACUGAGACACGGCCCAAACUCCUACGGGAGGCAGCAGUGGGGAAUAUUGCACAAUGGGGGAAACCCUGAUGCAGCGACGCCGCGUGAGUGAAGAAGUAUUUCGGUAUGUAAAGCUCUAUCAGCAGGGAAGAAGACGACGGUACCUGACUAAGAAGCCCCGGCUAACUACGUGCCAGCCGCGGC
RNAcentral lists this ribosomal RNA (480 nucleotides) under uncultured bacterium. RNAcentral's name for it is "bacterial SSU rRNA". It matches the Rfam family "Bacterial small subunit ribosomal RNA", at positions 36 to 518 of the family's 1533-position model. The record is from RNAcentral.